Molecule: ribosomal RNA, 281 nt
Filed under: uncultured prokaryote
Description: partial 16S ribosomal RNA
Rfam family: Bacterial small subunit ribosomal RNA
Source: RNAcentral
UACGUAGGGGGCUAGCGUUAUCCGGAAUUACUGGGCGUAAAGGGUGCGUAGGUGGUUUCUUAAGUCAGAGGUGAAAGGCUACGGCUCAACCGUAGUAAGCCUUUGAAACUGGGAAACUUGAGUGCAGGAGAGGAGAAUGGAAUUCCUAGUGUAGCGGUGAAAUGCGUAGAUAUUAGGAGGAACACCAGUUGCGAAGGCGGCUCUCUGGACUGUAACUGACACUGAGGCACGAAAGCGUGGGGAGCAAACAGGAUUAGAUACCCGUGUAGUCCCUGAGCGGG